This 292-nucleotide unclassified non-coding RNA is filed under the name plant metagenome. RNAcentral describes it as "partial contains small subunit ribosomal RNA, internal transcribed spacer 1, and 5.8S ribosomal RNA". The record is from RNAcentral.
UUUCUGUAGGUGAACCUGCGGAAGGAUCAUUAUUGAAUAAACCUGAUGUGGUUGUAGCUGGCCCUUUCGGGAGCAUGUGCACACCCGUCGUCUUUAUCUUUCCACCUGUGCACCUUUUGUAGACCUGGAUGUAACACUUUCCGAGGCAACUCGGUCGGGAGGAAUGCUGUCAGCUUUCCUUGAAUGUCCAGGCCUAUGUUUUCAUAUACCCCAAAGAAUGUAACAGAAUGUAUUAUUGGGCCUUGUGCCUAUAAACUAUAUACAACUUUCAGCAACGGAUCUCUUGGCUCUC